RNAcentral lists this transfer RNA (70 nucleotides) under Actinoplanes sp. L3-i22. RNAcentral describes it as "tRNA-Met". Lineage: Bacteria; Bacillati; Actinomycetota; Actinomycetes; Micromonosporales; Micromonosporaceae. The record is from RNAcentral.
CGCAGGCGGGCCGGCGCCCGCCCGCCCCUCAUAAGGGUGGCUUGCCCGGUUCGACACCGGGGCCUGCGAC